GAUAACCACAGCCUCCUCAGCAGAAGGUCAACGCCUGCUUCUACAUCACUGCCUGUUGAGCCCCGCCCACUGAUUCAUGCAUGUAAGAUGGCUCCGAAGACAAGACACUGUGCAGUGCCAAGUUGUGGAAAAUCAGUCAUUGUGUCGCCUUCCUUCUAAUCGUAACGUUAGGAAAGAGUGGAUGAACUUUAUUUUUAAUGAAGUUCCAGACAGUGUCAGUAAGAACUCGGCCCUUUGUUCACUUCAUUUUACCAUGGAUCUGUUUACAAACAAGGCACAAUUCGAUGCAGGAUUUUCAAAAAACAUUGAAACUAAAAGAUGAUGCUAGGCCGACUAUAUUGGACCCGACAGUAAUACAACUCUCUCGUUGCUUUCUUUGGCUGACUGAAUGAUUCAUCCUCUCGUCAUCCCUGGACUGAGUGGGAUGCAGAGGUGGAAGAGGAUGUGGGACUGUGUGGAGGAGAGAGGCAGGUGCACAGAUCCACCCCCACAAACGAGGAAGAAAGUUGAGACGGAAUCAGAGUUCAAUCUCUUUCACCACCACCAACAAAAAAAGGAUGGGACUGCGAAUGUAAAACUGUGGAGCACUUUAUCUUCUUGAAGUCAAACUUUUAUUGUCAAACUUUACUAUAUUUAACAAAAACAAGUGAGAAAUAGUGGUGCAUAUCAUAUUAAAUUGCCUUCUGUUUAA
Long non-coding RNA from Cyprinus carpio (common carp), 691 nucleotides. RefSeq lists it as uncharacterized. NCBI's taxonomy places the organism in Eukaryota, Metazoa, Chordata, Actinopteri, Cypriniformes, Cyprinidae. The record is from RefSeq and is a predicted model, not a curated record.